UGUCACCACCAAAGGUCUCUGAGAUG
This 26-nucleotide non-coding RNA is filed under the name Rattus norvegicus (Norway rat). Lineage: Eukaryota; Metazoa; Chordata; Mammalia; Rodentia; Muridae. The record is from RNAcentral.